RNAcentral lists this ribosomal RNA (2921 nucleotides) under Staphylococcus aureus. RNAcentral describes it as "23S ribosomal RNA". It matches the Rfam family "Bacterial large subunit ribosomal RNA". The record is from RNAcentral. Lineage: Bacteria; Bacillati; Bacillota; Bacilli; Caryophanales; Staphylococcaceae.
GAUUAAGUUAUUAAGGGCGCACGGUGGAUGCCUUGGCACUAGAAGCCGAUGAAGGACGUUACUAACGACGAUAUGCUUUGGGGAGCUGUAAGUAAGCUUUGAUCCAGAGAUUUCCGAAUGGGGAAACCCAGCAUGAGUUAUGUCAUGUUAUCGAUAUGUGAAUACAUAGCAUAUCAGAAGGCACACCCGGAGAACUGAAACAUCUUAGUACCCGGAGGAAGAGAAAGAAAAUUCGAUUCCCUUAGUAGCGGCGAGCGAAACGGAAGAGCCCAAACCAACAAGCUUGCUUGUUGGGGUUGUAGGACACUCUAUACGGAGUUACAAAGGACGACAUUAGACGAAUCAUCUGGAAAGAUGAAUCAAAGAAGGUAAUAAUCCUGUAGUCGAAAAUGUUGUCUCUCUUGAGUGGAUCCUGAGUACGACGGAGCACGUGAAAUUCCGUCGGAAUCUGGGAGGACCAUCUCCUAAGGCUAAAUACUCUCUAGUGACCGAUAGUGAACCAGUACCGUGAGGGAAAGGUGAAAAGCACCCCGGAAGGGGAGUGAAAUAGAACCUGAAACCGUGUGCUUACAAGUAGUCAGAGCCCGUUAAUGGGUGAUGGCGUGCCUUUUGUAGAAUGAACCGGCGAGUUACGAUUUGAUGCAAGGUUAAGCAGUAAAUGUGGAGCCGUAGCGAAAGCGAGUCUGAAUAGGGCGUUUAGUAUUUGGUCGUAGACCCGAAACCAGGUGAUCUACCCUUGGUCAGGUUGAAGUUCAGGUAACACUGAAUGGAGGACCGAACCGACUUACGUUGAAAAGUGAGCGGAUGAACUGAGGGUAGCGGAGAAAUUCCAAUCGAACCUGGAGAUAGCUGGUUCUCUCCGAAAUAGCUUUAGGGCUAGCCUCAAGUGAUGAUUAUUGGAGGUAGAGCACUGUUUGGACGAGGGGCCCCUCUCGGGUUACCGAAUUCAGACAAACUCCGAAUGCCAAUUAAUUUAACUUGGGAGUCAGAACAUGGGUGAUAAGGUCCGUGUUCGAAAGGGAAACAGCCCAGACCACCAGCUAAGGUCCCAAAAUAUAUGUUAAGUGGAAAAGGAUGUGGCGUUGCCCAGACAACUAGGAUGUUGGCUUAGAAGCAGCCAUCAUUUAAAGAGUGCGUAAUAGCUCACUAGUCGAGUGACACUGCGCCGAAAAUGUACCGGGGCUAAACAUAUUACCGAAGCUGUGGAUUGUCCUUUGGACAAUGGUAGGAGAGCGUUCUAAGGGCGUUGAAGCAUGAUCGCAAGGACAUGUGGAGCGCUUAGAAGUGAGAAUGCCGGUGUGAGUAGCGAAAGACGGGUGAGAAUCCCGUCCACCGAUUGACUAAGGUUUCCAGAGGAAGGCUCGUCCGCUCUGGGUUAGUCGGGUCCUAAGCUGAGGCCGACAGGCGUAGGCGAUGGAUAACAGGUUGAUAUUCCUGUACCACCUAUAAUCGUUUUAAUCGAUGGGGGGACGCAGUAGGAUAGGCGAAGCGUGCGAUUGGAUUGCACGUCUAAGCAGUAAGGCUGAGUAUUAGGCAAAUCCGGUACUCGUUAAGGCUGAGCUGUGAUGGGGAGAAGACAUUGUGUCUUCGAGUCGUUGAUUUCACACUGCCGAGAAAAGCCUCUAGAUAGAAAAUAGGUGCCCGUACCGCAAACCGACACAGGUAGUCAAGAUGAGAAUUCUAAGGUGAGCGAGCGAACUCUCGUUAAGGAACUCGGCAAAAUGACCCCGUAACUUCGGGAGAAGGGGUGCUCUUUAGGGUUAACGCCCAGAAGAGCCGCAGUGAAUAGGCCCAAGCGACUGUUUAUCAAAAACACAGGUCUCUGCUAAACCGUAAGGUGAUGUAUAGGGGCUGACGCCUGCCCGGUGCUGGAAGGUUAAGAGGAGUGGUUAGCUUCUGCGAAGCUACGAAUCGAAGCCCCAGUAAACGGCGGCCGUAACUAUAACGGUCCUAAGGUAGCGAAAUUCCUUGUCGGGUAAGUUCCGACCCGCACGAAAGGCGUAACGAUUUGGGCACUGUCUCAACGAGAGACUCGGUGAAAUCAUAGUACCUGUGAAGAUGCAGGUUACCCGCGACAGGACGGAAAGACCCCGUGGAGCUUUACUGUAGCCUGAUAUUGAAAUUCGGCACAGCUUGUACAGGAUAGGUAGGAGCCUUUGAAACGUGAGCGCUAGCUUACGUGGAGGCGCUGGUGGGAUACUACCCUAGCUGUGUUGGCUUUCUAACCCGCACCACUUAUCGUGGUGGGAGACAGUGUCAGGCGGGCAGUUUGACUGGGGCGGUCGCCUCCUAAAAGGUAACGGAGGCGCUCAAAGGUUCCCUCAGAAUGGUUGGAAAUCAUUCAUAGAGUGUAAAGGCAUAAGGGAGCUUGACUGCGAGACCUACAAGUCGAGCAGGGUCGAAAGACGGACUUAGUGAUCCGGUGGUUCCGCAUGGAAGGGCCAUCGCUCAACGGAUAAAAGCUACCCCGGGGAUAACAGGCUUAUCUCCCCAAGAGUUCACAUCGACGGGGAGGUUUGGCACCUCGAUGUCGGCUCAUCGCAUCCUGGGGCUGUAGUCGGUCCCAAGGGUUGGGCUGUUCGCCCAUUAAAGCGGUACGCGAGCUGGGUUCAGAACGUCGUGAGACAGUUCGGUCCCUAUCCGUCGUGGGCGUAGGAAAUUUGAGAGGAGCUGUCCUUAGUACGAGAGGACCGGGAUGGACAUACCUCUGGUGUACCAGUUGUCGUGCCAACGGCAUAGCUGGGUAGCUAUGUGUGGACGGGAUAAGUGCUGAAAGCAUCUAAGCAUGAAGCCCCCCUCAAGAUGAGAUUUCCCAACUUCGGUUAUAAGAUCCCUCAAAGAUGAUGAGGUUAAUAGGUUCGAGGUGGAAGCAUGGUGACAUGUGGAGCUGACGAAUACUAAUCGAUCGAAGACUUAAUCAA